CGUGUAGGCGGCUUAUCAAGUCAGAUGUGAAAGCCCUCGGCUUAACCGAGGAAGUGCGUCUGAAACUGAUGAGCUUGAGUGCCGGAGAGGAUGGCGGAAUUCCGCAAGUAGAGGUGAAAUUCGUAGAUAUGCGGAGGAACACCGGUGGCGAAGGCGGCCAUCUGGACGGCAACUGACGCUGAGACGCGAAAGCGUGGGGAGCAAACAGGAUUAGAUACCCUGGUAGUCCACGCCGUAAACGAUGAGAACUAGGUGUCGUGGGUGUUGACCCCCGCGGUGCCGCAGCUAACGCAUUAAGUUCUCCGCCUGGGAAGUACGGCCGCAAGGUUAAA
This 332-nucleotide ribosomal RNA is filed under the name uncultured bacterium. RNAcentral's name for it is "bacterial SSU rRNA". It matches the Rfam family "Bacterial small subunit ribosomal RNA", at positions 568 to 898 of the family's 1533-position model. The record is from RNAcentral.